This is a long non-coding RNA of Capsicum annuum, 1414 nucleotides long. RefSeq lists it as uncharacterized. NCBI's taxonomy places the organism in Eukaryota, Viridiplantae, Streptophyta, Magnoliopsida, Solanales, Solanaceae. The record is from RefSeq and is a predicted model, not a curated record. The transcript is spliced from 3 exons.
CAGCUUAUUGGGCCAAAUACACUACCACCUACUUAAGUUAAUUCUGGCCCAAAUUAAAUAAGAGAAAAAGAGGAGAAUGGGCAGCCAAGGCCCAAUAGUUUUUAAUCCACAAAGGCCUAAUAUAAUGGGCAAGUAGGUGCAUCACCUACUUGAUAAAUUAUGUCCCAAAAAUGACCAAGAAAUUCGGCCAAGAGCAUCUCUUUUAGAAGGGAUUAAAACCAUCCCUUAUAGCUCAUUUUAACUAGCAAAAAAAAAAAUAGCUUUCAAGAUUUUUUCUCUUGUUCUCUCUUACCUAUGCAGCAGCCCUAAAAUUCUAUUAGGGUUCUUUGGAAACCUUCCUUCCAAGUUAAAGGUAAGUGAACAAAUCAUGAGCACAUCUUAAGAAUACUAUAAGGAUUAUGUUCUUCAUGAUUAAACUAGAAGAUAUCCCUUUUUAAGUUUGGCAGUCCCUUUAUCCUUGAUUAUUAAGAGAUUUUUCUCUUCACUUUUGGUUUGUGAGUAAAGGGAUCAAGCUAUUGAUACAUUAAGGGAAUAAACUACCACCAAAACUAAGGUAUGGCUACUGUCUAUUUUUUCCCUUUUACUAUAAACGUGUGUUGGUUGAGGAUUGUGUAUAUGUUGUUGUUAAGAACUCAAGGGAUGGUGACUUCAAUUUCUGGUUGCCAUAUUAAGGGGUAUUUGGGGCUGUUUUGGAUCUGUUUUAUGUAUGUAUGUUGGGGGCUUCUUGGUUGACGUUGGGGGAAUGGUGUGAAUAAUUUCCAUUGAAGGUAGAAGAAGAGUAUAAUGGUACACCACCAAAUUGAAUGUUGCAUAAGUUUCCUGCCCACAUCACUUGAUAUACUAUUUUGAGAGUACAAUAAUGAUGAAACUAUUAAGGGGAUCUUAUAAAAAGUUACAUCACGUAUGAAUGUAAUUGGCGAAGAACGAGGUUGAGAGAACACCCUUGGAUUAGUUAAUUGUGGAUUACUGCGCGGUUACUGUUUUAGUAUGUUUAAAUGGCGUGAAUAUGUUAAUUAGCUACUAAUACUAGUUUUAUGCUAUUGUAGAUUAGUAAUAUAAAAGGAAAGACGUUAAAUGAAAGUGUGAUCAGUUGUGCAUCAAGGUACAGGUACUCUAGCUAGUAGACCACCCCAAUAGGAGCACAGGACAUCCAGCUACUAUUGGUGAUCUCCAAGUUGAUACGGAGCUUUCCGAGUCUGUUAUAUAUUUUGGUAUUGUGUAGUAGUUAUGAGAAAGGCUUGCACUUCAGCUCAUACAACUCACUAGUAGGAGCGUAGGCUUUUUAGGGACUAUUGGUGAUACGGGACAAAUGGCCAUCAUAUCUUUUGAUGACAUCUUUAGAGGCCAACACAUAGAGGCUCAAGACUUGGUCACCUCGAGAAUACAAGAACAUGCACGGAGGACCCAUUUUGAG